RNAcentral lists this ribosomal RNA (253 nucleotides) under uncultured bacterium. RNAcentral's name for it is "partial 16S ribosomal RNA". It matches the Rfam family "Bacterial small subunit ribosomal RNA", at positions 524 to 776 of the family's 1533-position model. The record is from RNAcentral.
UACGAAGGCGGCAAGCGUUACUCGGAAUUACUAGGCGUAAAGGGCAGGUAGGUGGUUUGAUAAGUCUGUUGUGAAAGCUCCCGGCUUAACUGGGAGAGGUCAACAGAAACUAUCAGGCUUGAGUAUGGGAGAGGGUACUGGAAUUCCUGGUGUAGCGGUGAAAUGCGCAGAGAUCAGGAGGAACACCAAUUGCGAAGGCAGCUCGCUGGGACGGUACUGACGCUGAGACGCGAAAGCGUGGGGAGCGAACAGG